CUGCUGCCUUCCGUAGGAGUCUGGUCCGUGUCUCAGUACCAGUGUGGGGGACCUUCCUCUCAGAACCCCUACGCAUCGUCGCCUUGGUGGGCCGUUACCCCGCCAACUAGCUAAUGCGCCGCAUGCCCAUCCGUCUCCGAUAUUCUUUCAAAACCAGACGAUGCCGUCCAGCCUCAUACGGGGUAUUAGACGCCGUUUCCGACGAUUAUCCCCCUGAGACGGGCAGGUUGCAUACGUGUUACUCACCCGUGCGCCGGUUGCCGG
This 264-nucleotide ribosomal RNA is filed under the name uncultured bacterium. RNAcentral describes it as "partial 16S ribosomal RNA". The record is from RNAcentral.